AUUUAUCAACAAAAAAUUCAGAGAAUCAGAGUCUAGAGUGACGACUCUUAUUCUCCUCCAACGCCCAAGAGUAGAGACGAAAACGGAGUCAUGGUCACGGAGAGAGGCAGAGAGCAGAGCUUCUUCUUCUCCGACUCCUGAGAAAAUCCGCCGUCCUCUGCCUGAGAGCAGAACUUCUUUCUCUUCUUCUUCUUCUUCUCCUCCGCCGAGUCCGCCUCCGCGCCAUCCUCUUCAUACUCGUCGUUGUGAUCCCGUCGCCAAAGCACGUCGCUGUCGCAGCUUCUUAGACUAUUCAAAGACCUAUGCUCGGUCCAAAUAUUAUGACGAAGCAAAACCCUGGAAUGAAAGGUGUGAUGUUGCAUUUUCUUGUGCUUCGCAGAAUGAAAUUGAACAAUCUGAUGCCAUUAAUUUGGUUAAUGCAGGUUGUCGUCUACUAGUAGAAGGUUCCAACAUGCCCUGUACUCCUAAGGCAGCUGACUUCCUAAAGAAAGCUAGUGUUCUCAUUGCUCCUGCAAUGGCCGUUGGCACCGGAGGGGUAUGAUGUUUGCUAUAUUAUUCAGAGUGCUAUGUUUUGCUCAUAUAUUAUAGAUUUUAGAUUGGCAUGUUGACAUGUUGAUGACCUUUCUCCUUGCUUACAAGUUGUGGUUAGAGAGCUUGAACUGAAUCAUGAAUACAGUUUGAUGCACUGAUCGUCAGAGGAUUUCGAAUCAAAAUUCUGCUUUGGUUUUACCUGCUAUAUGUCUUUAGCAUGGUUCUAAGCACCAUCUGAGAUGGCCAUAAUUGGAGCAAGAAGAAAGACGGAAAGACUGUCGGAGAGGCACACGAACGCCUUAAGGUUGGAACUGUCAAAGCCUUAAAUUGUUACUCUGCAUAUGGAGAGCAGAACCCUACUUUCCAGAAGUAGAGCUAUUGGAUGUUGGAUCCGGCAUAUGAGCAUAUUGUUCUUGUGCAUUAUAGAGAAACAAGUGAGGUGACUCUUCAUAACUUGAUUGUAGAUAAACAUGAUAAUAGUACUUUGUCCUAUUGAUAUUUACCUUUAUUUAAAUGGCUCAUGCUAGAUCCUGAACAGUUUAUAUUUCUUCUAUAAGUUUGGUACGGUAGUUUUUCUUUUC
This is a long non-coding RNA of Arachis duranensis, 1112 nucleotides long. RefSeq lists it as uncharacterized. The transcript is spliced from 8 exons. NCBI's taxonomy places the organism in Eukaryota, Viridiplantae, Streptophyta, Magnoliopsida, Fabales, Fabaceae. The record is from RefSeq and is a predicted model, not a curated record.